This 466-nucleotide ribosomal RNA is filed under the name uncultured bacterium. RNAcentral describes it as "partial 16S ribosomal RNA". It matches the Rfam family "Bacterial small subunit ribosomal RNA", at positions 28 to 507 of the family's 1533-position model. The record is from RNAcentral.
GAUGAACGCUGGCGGCGUGCUUAACACAUGCAAGUCGAACGAUGAAGCCCAGCUUGCUGGGUGUAUUCGUGGCGAACGGGUGAGUGACACGUGAGUAACCUCCCCUUAACUCUGGGAUAAGCCUUGGAAACUGUGUCUAAUACCGGAUAUAAGCGUCCAUCGCAUGGUGGGUGUUGGAAAGAUUUAUCGGUUUUGGAUGGACUCGCGGCCUAUCAGCUUGUUGGUGGGGUAGUGGCUCACCAAGGCGAUGACGGGUAGCCGGCCUGAGAGGGUGACCGGCCACACUGGGACUGAGACACGGCCCAGACUCCUACGGGAGGCAGCAGUGGGGAAUAUUGCACAAUGGGCGCAAGCCUGAUGCAGCAACGCCGCGUGAGGGAUGACGGCCUUCGGGUUGUAAACCUCUUUCACUAGGGAAGAAGCGAAAGUGACGGUACUUGCAGAAGAAGCACCGGCUAACUACGUG